AGCUUUCCUUCCCUUCAUUAAGGUACUACGACUCACCACAACAUGGUCGCCGGCUGCUGCACCAACGAGGUGACGGUCAACGUCAGCGUCCACAGGAUGUGGAAGGCGGCCGCCUGCGAGGAUCACAUCCUGCUGCCAAAGAUCAUUCCUCAGUACUUCGCUGGCGCAGAGCUCGUCGGCGAUGGCGAAGCUGGCAGCACAAAGACCUUCCACUUCACUCCAGGUUUAGAUUUUGAUGCUGCUUUCCGACAUUCGUGUGCGUGCGAGAAGAGAUCGCAAAACAAGGAUAAAAAAUAAUCUCACAUCGAUAAAAAGAAUCGGAUGAUACAUAUCGAAACCUUUUUGGUUGAAUUGAUGUAUGAUCUGUUAAUUGGAACUAAUUUGGCUAUUGUUGCGAUCCAUCGAACUGCAGCCGCAGAGCCACUGACCUUCGUGAAGGACCAUGUUGAGGUGUUGGACCACGGAAGCCACACGAUGAGGUACAAGGCGAUCGAAGGAGGUCACCUCGGCCGCACGCUCAAGUCGCACGCGUUCGAGGUCAAGUUCGAAGCGGCGGGCGCCGACAGCUGUGUCGUGAAGACCAAGACAGAAUACGAUACGAUCGACGACGCGCCGCUGCCGGAGGACGAGGUGCAGAAGAUGACGGACGUGCCAGUACGGAUGAUGAAGUCGGUGGAAGCCUAUCUGAUAGCCAACCCCGGUGUUUGUGCCUGAGCCCCUGAGCCUCUGAGCCGGUGGGCUUUCGUGUACCGACGUUGGUGCUUCCAGUGUCGUAGUGCUUGUCAUUGGGCGUGGAUCAAUCAAUAAUGAGGUGAUGCAGCAGUGCUGGAAUCAUCACCUUUAGAGUGAGAGAGUGAGAGAGUGAGAGAGAGAUAGGACAUGACAUGUUGAUGCCAUCUCUCUCUUUGUCUGUUCUUUCCAUCUUCUGCAAUGUGGUGUUUUGUGUGGUCGUUGAAGGACAUAUAUCUACAAAUAAGAUGUGAUUUCUUUGGUAUCAUGUAAUCCUUCUUUUUUGGUAUCAUUCUUAGUAGUCUCUUUUAAAGAUUCAAAGACUAGCGUAAUCCAAAUUAAACAUGGAUUUAAUUGAUUUUACUUAAACUAUAUGAUACGUUUAUAAUGUUUGUUCGUAACGAGUCAACCUUCUCGUAAUUUUAUUUACUCUCAUCCAUAAAUAAAUCAGUUACCGAUAAAUGAAUGCAUGAACAAACAAAUCGAUGUCACCUUAGUAAAAUAUACCUUGGGAUUAUAUAACUAAAAUUGAACAAAAUACCUUCUUAGACGACUAAAAUGGAUGCAUUUUGCUGAAAGAUUUUACGAUAAAAAAUUGAAGGUUAAUUCGUCGUCCAUAAAGUUUAAGUACAUAAGUGAUAGGUUCAUCCAUCGUCCAUAAAGUUUAAGUACAUAAGUGAUAAAACUUCAUCCAAUCUUAUGUUUGUUCAAAAUUUAUAUAAUUAAAUUUGAACAAAAUAUCUUACUAAAAUGGAUGCAUUUUGCUUGCUCUGAAAAAAUUUUACGAUAAAAAAUUGAAGGCUAAUCCAUCGUCAAUAAAAUUUAAGUACAUAAGUGAUAACGUAUCUUAGAACUUUCAUCCAAUCUUGUGUCGGUUCAAAAUUAAAUGUUAACAUGACAUGAGAUUUGACGUAAUAGUGAUGUGACCUUAUCUACAAACUCGAUAGAAACAAAUUAAUUCUUCUAUUUUUUAAGAUAAAUACUGGUAAUACGGCAACAUCAAAAAUAUUAUAUCGUACAAUUUGGUUCUUCCUCUUAGUUUCAAACAUGAAGCUCCACAAAGACGGCAAUAAAAUAAAAUUAACGAAGAAAAAUGCAACACGACAUCAACUCAUCGUGAUCUCACUCACCCUAACAAAGAAUAUAAUAAUAAACUACACCGUUGAAUGAACUGUUAAUUCUUUCAUUAAAUGCAUGAAAUACAUUUAUGGUGAAACUUUGUUUCUAACAUACAUACAUACAUACAUACAUACAUACAUACAUAUUUUAAUCUGACUAGCAUAUGCUUGAAGAAUCCGAUCAUUCUCGACUACGGCUGAUGAUGAUAUGGGGCUGCUCAACAAUGAAGACCGCAAAGUCUGCAUGCUUGUGAGCUUUGAAGUCUUCGCUUCAGUCAACAAAUACUAGCUAGUUUGAAUGCUUCCAAGUUUACCAUGACACCCACUUCUUAGAACAUUGAAUUGGGAUGAGGAUGCCAACAAGAGAAGAUGAACCGAUUCAUUGGCAUGGAGCGAUCUUCGCGUCAUCUCAGACCCCCCCCUUUUUCCAAUCUAAUCGAUGAGGUUACCUAAAGUUCAAACUUCAUCUGGAAGCCCGAGAUGACCCGGCACUCCAUCGCCGUCUAUAAAUGGACUCUUCCCCUUCCCUUCACCACCAACCCAUCACAGCCUGCAGAGCUCUCAUCCGGCAAAACACCUUCAUCGACGCCAUGGUUGCCGGGUGCUGCACCGAAGAGCUGACGCUCAAUGUCAGCGUCCACAGAGUAUGGAAGGCGGCCGCCUGCGAGGAUCACAUCCUGCUGCCAAAGAUCAUGCCGCAGUACUUCUCCGGCGCCGAGCUCAUCGGGGAUGGUGAAGCUGGCAGCACCAAGAUCUUCCACUUCGAUCCAGGUUUGGAUUCACAUCACCAAUGCUUCUUUCAGGUAACAGGAAGAUCCGUAAACUAUGCUGAUUUCAACUGGCAAUUCUGUGGAUGAGACUGCAGGUAUGAAGCCACUGAUCUUCGUGAAGAACCAUGUCGAAGUGCUGGAUCAUGGGAGCCACACCUUGAAGUACAAGACCGUCGAGGGAGGCCACCUCGGCCACACGCUCAAGUCGCACACCAUCGAGCACAAGUACGACGCCUUGAGCGCCGACACCUGCUCUCUGAAGAUCAAGGUGGAGUAUGAUACCAUCGACGACAAGGGGCUCCCCGAGGAGGAGGUGAACAAGAUCAAGGAGGGGUCGGUAUGGGUCGCCAAGG
RNAcentral lists this long non-coding RNA (2970 nucleotides) under Musa acuminata (dwarf banana). Its description in RNAcentral is "long non-coding RNA (MACU_LNC004915)". The record is from RNAcentral. Lineage: Eukaryota; Viridiplantae; Streptophyta; Magnoliopsida; Zingiberales; Musaceae.